This 128-nucleotide transfer RNA is filed under the name Cordyceps militaris CM01. It matches the Rfam family "tRNA". Rfam says of the family: Transfer RNA (tRNA) molecules are approximately 80 nucleotides in length. Their secondary structure includes four short double-helical elements and three loops (D, anti-codon, and T loops). The record is from Rfam by way of RNAcentral. Lineage: Eukaryota; Fungi; Ascomycota; Sordariomycetes; Hypocreales; Cordycipitaceae.
GCCUUCGUGGCGUAGUUGGUUACCGCGUUGGUCUCAUAUAAGGGCAGUCGAUUCGACAGCUGAUUUAUAUGACCCAGUCAUUAGACUGAGACAUCCAAAGGUCAUGAGUUCGAGUCUCAUCGAGGGCA